GUGCCAGCCGCCGCGGUAAUACGGAGGAUGCAAGCGUUAUCCGGAAUGAUUGGGCGUAAAGGGUCCGCAGGUGGCAUUGUAAGUCUGCUGUUAAAGAGUUUGGCUCAACCAAAUAAGAGCAGUGGAAACUACAAAGCUAGAGUGUGGUCGGGGCAGAGGGAAUUCCUGGUGUAGCGGUGAAAUGCGUAGAUAUCAGGAAGAACACCAGUGGCGAAGGCGCUCUGCUAGGCCGAGACUGACACUGAGGGACGAAAGCUAGGGGAGCGAAUGGGAUUAGAUACCCCAGUAGUCCUAGCCGUAAACGAUGGAUACUAGGCGUAGCUCGUAUCGACCCGAGCUGUGCCGGAGCUAACGCGUUAAGUAUCCCGCCUGGGGAGUACGCAGGCAACUGUGAAACUUAAAUGAAUUGACGGGG
This 415-nucleotide ribosomal RNA is filed under the name uncultured prokaryote. Its description in RNAcentral is "bacterial SSU rRNA". It matches the Rfam family "Bacterial small subunit ribosomal RNA", at positions 505 to 918 of the family's 1533-position model. The record is from RNAcentral.